Molecule: long non-coding RNA, 6542 nt
Organism: Passer domesticus (house sparrow)
Lineage: Eukaryota; Metazoa; Chordata; Aves; Passeriformes; Passeridae
Exons: 12
Source: RefSeq, a predicted model, not a curated record
AAUUCCUUAUUACUCUUUUUUUUUUUUUUUUUUUUUUUUUUUUUUUCCCCUGUUGGCCCAACACAAGCAGCAAAAGUAACAUGUCUGAACCUGUUUCCUUGUCUGUUCUGGUGGUUACCCACUUUCUUCUCCUCCAGUUCAGGGAAAGUGGAGAAAAAAAGUUUGCCUUUGCCCAGCAGCACUGCAGGUGUCUGUCCCUCUGAAAGAGUCCCAGCGGUGUGGGUGUGCUGGAAAGAAAAAUCCCCAGUGACUUCACCCAGUUUGGCUUGUGGUGGUUACUCACAAUGAGGUUCUUGCCCUGAUUUCUCUCCAGCCUUUCCACUGUUAUUACAGCUCUGGUAUCCUAUAGCAAGUAAGAACAUAACAUUACAACUGUUCACACGUGGGAGAUUGAGGAACUGCAUUGAGAGCCCAUCAGAUAGGAAAGUGCUUUUUCUGUAGGAAGAAGCAAUACAACAUUUUGCCUUAGAACAAUCUCAUUGGUCCUUCCUGGAUACUGGUUUGUGGGAAGCACUGAUGAAUGCUCCCUGCUGUGAGAGGAGGACUUUCCCAUCAGAGAGAAUGACCAUGCCCUUCCACCUGUGUGUCUGAGAUUCCACAAAGAGGCCUCCUAAGAUAAGCAUGCUGGGCUACCUAUACCCUGGAGAGAUGUGAUUAUUUCAGAGAAUGCUCUUGGUUUUCCUGAAACAAAGGGUUUCUUUUGUUCCAUGACUCCUUCCUUCCCUCACAUGCUGCUUAUCUGGGUGAAGAAUCAUGGCUGGAAUUUAUAAAUGCUUCUCUGUUGUGCAAAGGAGCUUUGAUAGCAUGAAAUGAAUAACAGGACAAUGACUUCUGUCUGAACAGGUUGGCCCUGUAGGGACAGGUUUCAAGUGGCAACAUGUGGAAUACAGGCCUGAAGGAGAUGCUCAGCCCCCAGCAUUAAAGGAUUCUGGUUUUUUCUUGACUUUGUUUGAAAGAAGUUUGUCCAAAUGGUUGAAGAGCAGUCCCAGAAGCUCCUUCAGAGGUUUCAGAUGGUUUAUUUUUGAAGAGCACUUUCUCACUCGCUUUGACAUGAGACAUGCAAAGAAACAGUCAAUACUGUUUUACUUACAUGACAUGUUUCUGUAACUGGAGAAGUGAAAGGUUUGAAAUGAAGGCUGUUGCUGAAUCUGGAGAAGACGCAGCCCUAGGCUUAGCACAAGAUAAAUUUGGUUCUGCUUUUUAAACACUGACCUCAGGAGAAGCUCUGCAGCAUGAAAAGGUUAUUAUGGGACUGGACACCUUGAGUCCCUUGGGUGUUUUUCUUCUUCAGAGAUGGAAGUCUGUUUCAAUAUGUCACAGUACAUUUUGAAGGCACUGUCACAUGGAGAAAAAACCUGAUAAUCUACUUCACAGCCAGGCAAGAGCACGCAUCUAUCAACAGUAUCUUGAAUACUCUCCCUUUAUGAACAUCAGACUGUUAGCUCAUGUUAGAUACUUCUGUAAAAUGGAUCAUCAGGGAUGAAACACUUGGAGCAGUGGCUUGUGAAGGGGAACAGCCCUUUGCAGCCCUGUAUGAGGAGGUGAUGUACUGCAGCACGUAGAGGCCACUGCUCCUCAUCCUGCCUCAUCAUUUCUGCCCAAAGGUGUGCAUAGAGUGUGCCAGCAUUUUGCACAAGGAGAGACAAGACAAAAUGUGAGUUCCUUGCAGAAGCCAGGCAAGAGAGGCUCUGACUGAGGUCUGAAUAGCAUAUUGUGUAAUUGCAUGUUACUCGUUAUGACCCUGUGUUUAUUGCUUGGUUCACUCCUACAGCUCUCAGACCAUUGCGCUGACUUCCAGGAAACUUAAAAAAUAUUGUUUCCCAAAAGCUGAAGUUAAGUGAUUGUCAUAGAAAAAAUAGCUGUUGUUUAUGGUCUUGUCAAAUUAAGUUCAACUUCAGUAACCAUGACAUGAAAUCUGUACCGGACAGUCUCACCAGGGAAUAAAAAGGCUUAUUCAGCCUAGUCAUAUACAAAUAUCAGUAAUAUAAAAUUCUGACAAUUGUAAGAGAAUUGCAUUCACAGCUUUGCACUUUCAGCUUGAUGAAAGGUGAUAAAACAUCAGCAUGUAUAUAGUUCCAUUUUGUCAUUUGCUUGUGGAGUACUUCCUGCUCACACUAAAAUUAAAAUUUAAAAGACUUUCACUUUUGAGGAAAAGAGCAUUAUUGAAGAGAAAUUCUCUCUGGCAAAUUAAUAGAUAAGGUCUGCCAUGCUAACUCAAAAAAGCAAGCUAAAGGUAAAAAUUGAAUCUCUUUAUCACAGUUGAGUCAUUUUUCUAAACUGGGGAAGUAAUAUGGGAUGGAAUAUAUAGGACAGAUUCUCUUACAGAAAGUGCUUUUAAACUUUAAAAGAUCCAUAACUAAUAUUGGGAAUGCUUAUAAAUGACAGUCUUCUCUUUUAGAUUAUGUUGCAUUUAUUACAUUCUACCAGGACUUUAUGGCGACUCUCAAGGAAUUAAUGUUAUAUUUAUGAUAAAAAUACGGAGCUGCUUCUAAAUAGCAUUUUCAUCAUAUUAACUGUUGCCUAGAUAACAGGCAUAUCUCCUCGAGCACCUCUAUUCUGGUUUAGCACUACAGCUUGCAAAUUAAUACAGUGAUUAUAAGACAGCAAAGCUAUAUCACUUACCAUUUCAUUAUUGUUCAAGUCAAAAUCCGUAUUUUUUCAGUUUUCCCUAGGGUUACAAACUGGAUAGGGAAAUGUUAUCAUCUUGCAGAAUAAUCUCUCAAGACUCACUCUCUUUGGUGUUAAGAGGAGCCGUUAAUCAUAUUACAAUAAUUUUCAUAUUAAUAGGUCCUGUGUAAAGACAGAGUUAAUGCUCUCCUUCUACAGUCAAACCUCCAACACAGUUUUUUUAUAUACAUAUAUGUGUGUAUAUAUAUAUGUAUAUAUAUAUAUAUUUAAAUCUGCUUGGAACUAGAUUAGCACAAAAGAUAUCACGUCCUACUCACUGUAUGAAUCAGGGUCAAAUCAACAGCAAACCCUUAAAUUUUUAAUCAAAAUGGCAAUCUGUCAUCCCUAAGAGAGUUAAAUAACGUUUAAGUGAAUAACAUGAAUAUGUUUUAGUGGAAAAUGCAUGGGAGAACUUACUGCAGCACACAGAAAACAUUCCAUGGAAUAUCUAGAAGAUAAUUUCGUCCUUGCAUGAGAUGCUGUGAUGCUAGCAUGCAUAUCCACUCUAAAUUAAAAAUCAUUUUCAGACGUGAAUUUUGUUUUCUGAGGAACCAGUACACGCUUUUAUUUUUGUGAUCUCAGAUACUGUAGUUUUCUGAAAGCUUCUCAUAUAGUGUUGUACAUUUAAUAAUGUAAUGUUACUUAAACUCAAGGCAUUUUCUGAUAUUUUUCCUUUUUUCCAAUCUGCUGACCUGAGUAAUGCAAUCUGCUCAGAAGAAGUUCAGUGUGAAUUUAAGAAGCUGUCCAAGGGGUCAGGUGUUUGCCUAAUUUUGAGCAGCCUGAAUGUGAAACAAAGGUGGGUCAGGUCUGCAGGGACUUGGGGGUGACCCAGCUCUACUCCUGCUCUGCUCCUGUGCUCCCUGGCUCGCUGGGAAGACUCUCUGUGUGGGAGCCCAGGCACUGAGCUGGAGUCGCGGAUAAUGAGCCCCAUGGAGAGCAGAAUGGAGACUGGAGCACGAUGCUGACUUAAUGUGGCAGUUUGGCUCCUGAAGCUGGUCAGCUUAGCCCAGGAAGGAGCCCGCUGCCUCUUCCUCGGCGGUGUGGGAAGAUGCUCCCUUGGUAAACCUUCACUUGCUGUCAGCAUCCGCUCUCCUUUUGCUAAGCCCUUUUACCGUAAUGAUGCCAUCUCUCUCAAUGUCCUUUAUUAUUCUCCUCUCUGUCAUUCCCAGGGGGUCUGAUUAAAAUCAGUGUAAAGCUCUCUUGGAUUUUACUGGCUUUCGUACUCUCCCUCUGCUCCUUAAUUUGCCUUUUUUUGCUGUUUUUAACUGCUUUCUGUUUAGGCUCAGUUCUGCUGUGUUCUAAACACCCCUCAUCUUUCCCCACUUUGGUGUUUUUGUAUUUUAUUCCUAUUCCUGACCUGCUCGACAACUGUUAAAUUACUUAGGCAGUGAGUAAAACGCAGAUUAAAGAAGUGCUUUCAGCUUUGAGCUAAAAUGUGUUGACAGGUCUCACAAGAGGCCUAGAGGAGACAUGGGAGAGUGGCAUCAUUUUGGGAGAAGAAAAACUAGAAAAAUGACUCUCAUCAGAUCUGAGGCCUUACCGCGAUUCUGUGGCAGCACUCCUGGCUGCCUUAAUGAGGUCAUGAAUCCACUAGCAGUGUGUAGAAACAGUUUUAAUUGGUGAUAAUUUUAACACUUGUUUAACAAAAUUUAAGGCAGCUGGAAUGGGGUUCUAUCUGUGCUAUACUGGUGUAAAUCAAAAGUAAUGUUAUUCAAACUUAUGUUCUUCUAGAAUAGCAGCACUUUAACAGAAAUCAGAUUCUAAAGCACUCCUGAAUUUCAGAUAUUAUACUGUAUUUCCAUUUAUAACCUGACAUAAUUCCCACACAGCAUAUGGUAUUAAUCUGGUGUAAACACCAUGUUAUGAUGAUACUCAAACACAUACAGCUGACAUGAAAAUGUCUUCAAGUACAAUAUUUCCAAAAGCAAUUAUGUCUAUAUGGUUGGUAGUUAGUUAGCUUGUGUGAAGUUUUAUUUCUUAUUCAUACAUAUAUUAAGGUUCACAGGAUGAAACAUGUAUAAAAAAGGAGAUAUUUUCAUUGUUUACAAAAAAAAAAAAGGGAAAAAUUCAGUAGCCUACUUAUUUUGGCCUGUUGGGCUUUUGUAAGGAAAUCUCACCUUCACGUGAACACAGGAUUUUUACAGUUUGCAUUAAAGGGUAGAUAUAUAGAUGAGUGCAAGGAAUACAAUGACACAAAUUGAAACUGAUGAUAUUUUUGCUAGAGAAAAUGGACUCCAAAAUAAUUAUUUAGGGAAAUUUUGCAACUCUCAGAGAAGGCAAUACUCUUGAUGUGUGAAUGCCUGAGACAUAAUCUCUGUUGGUAACAAAGCAUUUUUCAAUGUUGUCUGAUGAGAGGGGUGGGAGACCAGCACCCUUUGUCCAGGCAGAUGCAUAUGUGAAAUCUUUAAAAAAAUUGCCUAAGAUUGGAGUUGAGCCAAUCAUUUUUGUUGAAAUGAGAUCAAGAAAAGCAUGUCUUCUGGAAAGUAAAUGCUUAUGGAUGGUAAUAUUUUUGCUUGAACACUUGCCAGUAGGGCCUGAUUUACAGGUAGUGUAACUCUUCUAGUGCCAUCUCACCCUUUUGAGAUUAAAUUAUUUAUUAGGAUGAAGUGUAGCUUUUUCACAGAUUGUUUCUAGCUCUCUACCUGGUACCUAGAGUUUCAAAAUUUUUAGCCUUUCCUAGCCCCUUUUCUUCUUCCUGAGGAUACUUUCUUAAAUAGAUUCCUAAGACAAAGAAAAUAAGGCAACCUCAGUAUCACAUUCUUGUAACAGAAAGGAACUGCAAGAAACUGCUUAACAACCAGCUCUGCACUCGUUAGCUUUAGUAUAAAUCUGCAAUGACUUUAUUUUUAUUACUUCAUACUGGCACUACAGUGAAUAACAGUAGGUUAGACUGUUGAUGGCAUUGUAAAAUGAGCAUUUCCAUCUCAUGCCUAUUAUCCAAAACAAUAUCUUAGUUUUAAAAGAGACAGAUAAAAAAUUUGUAAUGGGACAAGAAUAAAUCUGGAAUAACUCCGCUGAAAAUUUGCACCCGUGUGACCAGGAAUUGAAUUUAGCCCACUUUGCUGAAUCCCUUUUAAUGGUUUCUGCACAUUCAAGCAUCCACCAGAGAUUAGAUGGAGGCAGCAGACCCGCCGCUAUCUGCGAUGCAGGCAGGACAGCCGGGGUGAAAGGGUAACGCAUUAUCACACUGCGCCACCUGGCCCAUCCAACACAAUUUGAGCAACUAUAAUUGUAUUGAUUACUUCUUGUGCUCAUGACUAAUGACCUCUAGCUGCAACCUUGCAUUUUCUAAAUCUUUUAUAUUCUGAUUUAAUAAUAAGAUUUGAUUAAAAAUUGCCAUUAGCCAAUGCCAAUGAUUAGUCAGCAAGACUCAAUGCUGCCAAGUUCCAAUGAGUUUCAUUAUUCUGGAAUUAAAAAGCACAGAGAACUUCUCUGGGUUAAUAAUACAAUGAUUCUGUCUCAAUCAGGAAUGAAAGAAAACAGCUCUAAUAUACAAAUGCAGCAAAAUGUGUGGCUAUUACUAAUAGCCACAUUUUACAGAGAAGUAUUUGAAGAAUUAAAGGGACUUUGUCACAGAUGGCAGGGACAGUUUGCUUUUGCUUUUUAUAUUUGAUUGGAAAGCCAAUGUCAGAUGGUGUGUGAGGGGGCAUUUUCCUAAGGAAAGACAUUUCCUUUGGUGCAACAAGAAUGUGGGGCUUAUUCAAUUUCUCCAUGAGAAUCCCCGCCUCAACAAAACAAGGCAAAGUGUAUGUUGGCAAAAAUGGAUAGUGAUGGUUUUAGAAAAUGAUAAGAGGUUUGUCUAGGUUAUUUACCUGCUGAGAAUAUAUUUCACUAUGUAUUUUUUUUUCAUUAAAGAAAAUGACUUAUUAAUUAAA